GACGAACGCUGGCGGCGUGCCUAAUACAUGCAAGUUGAGCGCUGAAGGUUGGUACUUGUACCAACUGGAUGAGCAGCGAACGGGUGAGUAACGCGUGGGGAAUCUGCCUUUGAGCGGGGGACAACAUUUGGAAACGAAUGCUAAUACCGCAUAAAAACUUUAAACACAAGUUUUAAGUUUGAAAGAUGCAAUUGCAUCACUCAAAGAUGAUUCCGCGUUGUAUUAGCUAGUUGGUGAGGUAAAGGCUCACUAAGGCGAUGAUACAUAGCCGACCUGAGAGGGUGAUCGGCCACAUUGGGACUGAGACACGGCCCAAACUCCUACGGGAGGCAGCAGUAGGGAAUCUUCGGCAAUGGACGAAAGUCUGACCGAGAAACGCCGCGUGAGUGAAGAAGGUUUUCGGAUCGUAAAACUCUGUUGGUAGAGAAGAACGUUGGUGAGAGUGGAAAGCUCAUCAAGUGACGGUAACUACCCAGAAAGGGACGGCUAGCUACGUG
This 497-nucleotide ribosomal RNA is filed under the name uncultured bacterium. RNAcentral describes it as "partial 16S ribosomal RNA". It matches the Rfam family "Bacterial small subunit ribosomal RNA", at positions 28 to 507 of the family's 1533-position model. The record is from RNAcentral.